RNAcentral lists this ribosomal RNA (515 nucleotides) under Staphylococcus aureus. Its description in RNAcentral is "partial 23S ribosomal RNA". It matches the Rfam family "Bacterial large subunit ribosomal RNA", at positions 468 to 985 of the family's 2925-position model. The record is from RNAcentral. Lineage: Bacteria; Bacillati; Bacillota; Bacilli; Caryophanales; Staphylococcaceae.
AAAUACUCUCUAGUGACCGAUAGUGAACCAGUACCGUGAGGGAAAGGUGAAAAGCACCCCGGAAGGGGAGUGAAAUAGAACCUGAAACCGUGUGCUUACAAGUAGUCAGAGCCCGUUAAUGGGUGAUGGCGUGCCUUUUGUAGAAUGAACCGGCGAGUUACGAUUUGAUGCAAGGUUAAGCAGUAAAUGUGGAGCCGUAGCGAAAGCGAGUCUGAAUAGGGCGUUUAGUAUUUGGUCGUAGACCCGAAACCAGGUGAUCUACCCUUGGUCAGGUUGAAGUUCAGGUAACACUGAAUGGAGGACCGAACCGACUUACGUUGAAAAGUGAGCGGAUGAACUGAGGGUAGCGGAGAAAUUCCAAUCGAACCUGGAGAUAGCUGGUUCUCUCCGAAAUAGCUUUAGGGCUAGCCUCAAGUGAUGAUUAUUGGAGGUAGAGCACUGUUUGGACGAGGGGCCCCUCUCGGGUUACCGAAUUCAGACAAACUCCGAAUGCCAAUUAAUUUAACUUGGGAGUC